AUGACAUGAGAAUUUUAUACAAAUACCUUACCACCUCCCUUUUUCCAAGGCACAUCGAACCUGAGAUUUCUUACCGGACCCUUGAACCUCAAUGAUCCAGAUGCAAAAUGCAGAUUCCCCAAAAUUUUUGUAAAUACAGAUGACACUUAUGAAGAGCUCCAUUUAAUUGUUUAUAAGGUAACAACUUUUUUCCUUCCAGCGUUAAUGAUUAUGCUGAAGUGGAUCUUUCUUGCAUGUGUACACGAGUGCAUGUGCAAACCUCUUAAAUGUUUCUUGGAAAAGAUAUUGGAAGUUCUGAUUAUGGUAAAACUCAAAAUGGGUGUUCUUCCAGCGUAAUAAGUUUAUUUUCAGUUCCUUUUAAACAGUUUUGUUAUUAGUGAAAGAGGAACUGUUUAAGAUUGUGAUUUAUAAACGUGUGAAGUCUCACGUGCUCUCAAACCAAAGGCUGUCAGAGGUUGGUGCUGCCUGUUCUCGAAAUGGCUCUGGAUGGGGGCCGUAGCCAUGUGUCUGUGCAUAUGCUGCUUUUGCUCUGAUUUUAAAGCUGUGGGCUUGCUAAUUCCGUAAGGAUCGUAUUUUGUUUCUGUCAGG
Molecule: small RNA, 588 nt
Filed under: Pan troglodytes (chimpanzee)
Lineage: Eukaryota; Metazoa; Chordata; Mammalia; Primates; Hominidae
Description: retained intron
Source: RNAcentral